RNAcentral lists this ribosomal RNA (33 nucleotides) under Enterococcus faecium MRSN 3418. The record is from RNAcentral. Lineage: Bacteria; Bacillati; Bacillota; Bacilli; Lactobacillales; Enterococcaceae.
ACACCUGUAACCAUGCCGAACACAGAAGUUAAG